This 306-nucleotide ribosomal RNA is filed under the name uncultured bacterium. RNAcentral's name for it is "partial 16S ribosomal RNA". It matches the Rfam family "Bacterial small subunit ribosomal RNA", at positions 507 to 808 of the family's 1533-position model. The record is from RNAcentral.
GACAGCAGCCGCCGCGGUAAUACGUAGGUCCCGAGCGUUGUCCGGAUUUAUUGGGCGUAAAGCGAGCGCAGGCGGUUAGAUAAGUCUGAAGUUAAAGGCUGUGGCUUAACCAUAGUACGCUUUGGAAACUGUUUAACUUGAGUGCAGAAGGGGAGAGUGGAAUUCCAUGUGUAGCGAUGAAAUGCGUAGAUAUAUGGAGGAACACCGGUGGCGAAAGCGGCUCUCUGGUCUGUAGCUGACGCUGAGGCUCGAAAGCGUGGGGAGCAAACAGGAUUAGAUACCCCUGUAGUCCCUGUCUCUUAUACA